ACUCGGAGGAAGGUGGGGAUGACGUCAAGUCAUCAUGCCCCUUAUGUCCAGGGCUUCACGCAUGCUACAAUGGCCGGUACAAAGGGCUGCGAUCCCGUGAGGGGGAGCGAAUCCCAAAAAGCCGGUCUCAGUUCGGAUUGGGGUCUGCAACUCGACCCCAUGAAGUCGGAGUCGCUAGUAAUCGCAGAUCAGCAACGCUGCGGUGAAUACGUUCCCGGGCCUUGUACACCGCCCGUCACGUCACGAAAGUCGGCAACACCCGAAGCCGGUGGCCCAACCCUUGUGGAGGGAGCCGUCGAAGGUGGGGCUGGCGAUUGGGACGAAGUCGUAACAAGGUAGCCGUACCGGAAGGUGCGGCUGGAUCACCUCCUUUCUAAGG
This 379-nucleotide ribosomal RNA is filed under the name Microbacterium sp. AISO3. RNAcentral's name for it is "bacterial SSU rRNA". It matches the Rfam family "Bacterial small subunit ribosomal RNA", at positions 1161 to 1533 of the family's 1533-position model. The record is from RNAcentral. Lineage: Bacteria; Bacillati; Actinomycetota; Actinomycetes; Micrococcales; Microbacteriaceae.